UUGGUGUGUGUGUGUGUGUGUGCCUGUCACAGGGAGAGAAUGGUGUGGUCUUCUACCUCACUCUAGAUGUUGUGGAGACCAACUGCAGCGUUCUCAGCAAGAGGGACUGGAAGAGCUGUGACAUUCGUCCAAGGGAAAACAUCAAGGUAUAUGGACAGUGCAAAGCUGCUAUCUUCAUCAAUAAGGUGCAUAGAGUGGAGCGCCUCUACAAAUACAACUGUGUUAUCAGACCAGGUAGUGCGCGUGAGGGCUGUCUCGGUUGUCCAAGUUUACCUCGCGAUCAUGAAGAAGCUGAAAUUCAGAAGACUGUGACCCAGUCUCUGGAGAAAUUCCACAACCAGAGCAGGCCGGCCAAUCGUUUCACUCUGCUCAAAAUCUCCCGUUCUACUUCACAGGUCGUAGCAGGUACGAAUUACCGUGUGGAAUACACCAUCCAGGAGACCACCUGCCCCCACAGCACAGAAGCAGUGACGGCUGAGAACUGCCCCCCUAUGGACUGCGAGUUUGCUGUGAGU
This is a non-coding RNA of Neolamprologus brichardi, 515 nucleotides long. NCBI's taxonomy places the organism in Eukaryota, Metazoa, Chordata, Actinopteri, Cichliformes, Cichlidae. The record is from RefSeq and is a predicted model, not a curated record.